Molecule: long non-coding RNA, 308 nt
Organism: Dreissena polymorpha
Lineage: Eukaryota; Metazoa; Mollusca; Bivalvia; Myida; Dreissenidae
Exons: 2
Source: RefSeq, a predicted model, not a curated record
UGCUGCGCAAUCAGCCGAAGCACAUGGUUUUGUGGUUCCCGGAUUACUAUUAUGAAAAUAAAUGUUUUGCGUUGCGUUCGGUACACAGAGGGUGUAAUGGCCGAACAGUUAUUGAAAUACGUCGCGGGGGCGAAACCUGGAAAGCGAGCGCCAACUCAAGUUUCUAUUUUCUGGUGGUUUGCUCUCUCUUUUGCGAUACAAAAGAGUCUGGAUCAGAUGAGGAAGCUGACUUGGAGGUCGAUGAGGAUGAAAUAAAUCAGAGAGUUUUAAUGUAUUCUCAAGAUUGUUGAAUAAAUGAAUGCUUCUUU